This 722-nucleotide long non-coding RNA is filed under the name Marmota monax (woodchuck). The record is from RNAcentral. Lineage: Eukaryota; Metazoa; Chordata; Mammalia; Rodentia; Sciuridae.
CCUAAUAAGGUUUAUAUCCUUCCUGUACUAAUAAAUCCCCUAACUUUCUCUGCAAUCUACCUCACUCUCUUUUCUGGAACUAUAAUUACACUUUUUAGUUCACAUUGACUUCUAACCUUAGUAGGCCUAGAAAUAAGUAUGCUAGCAAUUAUCCCUAUCUUAAUUGAUAAAGGAUAUCCUCAAUCCACAGAAGCUGCAUGCAAAUAUUUCCUAAUUCAAGCCACCACAUCAAUGAUCUUAAUAGGCAUAAUAAUUAAUUUCAUAGACUCAGGCCAAUAAACCCUGUCCAACUAAUACAAACAAAUUUCAUCAUUUAUAUUUACAAUUGCAUUUUCAAUAAAAAUAGGACUUGCCCCAUUUCAUCCAUGAGUACCAGAAGUUACCCAAGGAAUCCCACUUAAAUCAGGCCUAAUUCUGCUAACAUGACAAAAGAUUGCCCCAAUCUCUAUUGUAUACAAAAUCACAUCUUCCAUAAAUCCCACUCACAUAUUAUUUAUGGGAACCCUAUCAAUUAUAGUAGGAGGCUGAGGGGGGCUUAACCAAACCUAACUAAGAAAGAUCUUAGCAUACUCAUCUAUUGCCCAUAUAGGAUGAAUCAUAGCGAUUAUUACAUAUAACCCAACUUUAACGAUAUUAAACCUAAUCAUUUAUAUUAUGCUUACCAUUAAUAUAUUUAUACUUCUCCACUACCACAAAAAACUUCUGCCCUUUCCCUAUCAAAC